RNAcentral lists this ribosomal RNA (259 nucleotides) under uncultured prokaryote. RNAcentral describes it as "partial 16S ribosomal RNA". It matches the Rfam family "Bacterial small subunit ribosomal RNA", at positions 524 to 782 of the family's 1533-position model. The record is from RNAcentral.
UACGGAGGAUCCGAGCGUUAUCCGGAUUUAUUGGGUUUAAAGGGUGCGUAGGCGGAAUGGUAAGUCAGAGGUGAAAUCCUGCAGCUCAACUGUAGAAUAGCCUUUGAAACUGUCAUUCUUGAGUACAUUCGAGGUAGGCGGAAUGUGGUGUGUAGCGGUGAAAUGCAUAGAUAUACCACAGAACACCGAUUGCGUAGGCAGCUUACUAAACUGUAACUGACGCUGAGGCACGAAAGCGUGGGUAUCAAACAGGAUUAGA